GCAGAAUGAGAGCCAAAUGUGUUGUUGCCUUUUGAAAGUCAGCAGCAUCACAAUCAGUUUGCUCCCAGUUGUCAUCAGUCCACUCAAUUUCUAAGAAGCUUAUUGGAGAGAAAAAAAUGAUCCUAAGCCUGUCUUAGAAAUGAAGCACCC
Long non-coding RNA from Lagopus leucura (white-tailed ptarmigan), 150 nucleotides. RefSeq lists it as uncharacterized. Lineage: Eukaryota; Metazoa; Chordata; Aves; Galliformes; Phasianidae. The transcript has 3 exons. The record is from RefSeq and is a predicted model, not a curated record.